AUUGAACGCUGGCGGCAUGCCUUACACAUGCAAGUCGAACGGCAGCGGACCUUCGGGUGCCGGCGAGUGGCGAACGGGUGAGUAAUAUAUCGGAACGUACCUUUCAGUGGGGGAUAACGUAGCGAAAGUUACGCUAAUACCGCAUAUUCUGCGAGCAGGAAAGCAGGGGAUCGCAAGACCUUGCGCUGAUUGAGCGGCCGAUAUCAGAUUAGCUAGUUGGUGAGGUAAAGGCUCACCAAGGCGACGAUCUGUAGCGGGUCUGAGAGGAUGAUCCGCCACACUGGAACUGAGACACGGUCCAGACUCCUACGGGAGGCAGCAGUGGGGAAUUUUGGACAAUAGGGCGGCAAGACCUCGAUCCACGCAUGCCGCCGUGAGU
Molecule: ribosomal RNA, 379 nt
Filed under: uncultured bacterium
Lineage: Bacteria
Description: bacterial SSU rRNA
Rfam family: Bacterial small subunit ribosomal RNA
Source: RNAcentral